UAAACCCUGUUCAGUUUUAAUCAUUCAUCUUUUUCAUAACUCGGUAUGAUUGUGUGAAUUGCAAAAUGUGCAAGAAAACUAAGUUUGGGGUGGAAAUCGUGAAAGAGAAGCAAGUGCAUAAUAAGAGAUCAUACAAAAAGAAAAAUAGUAUGUAUUUUCUUUAAAAAGAAAAAAAAAAGAGAAAAAAAAGAGAAAAGAAAAACAAAAGAGAAAAAUGCACUUGCCGAGACUUAAGACUCUAACACAUAUGAAAUGCUCAGAAAAUUCGAGUAGGAAAAGAGUCAAAAGAGUGAAAUUAACCCCCAGAGUAUACGUGAUGCACGAGAAAAAAGAGAAAGAAAAAUCACACAACAUGACUACCGAGUUCAAAACCAUUUGUUAUCCAAUUUUUU
RNAcentral lists this long non-coding RNA (392 nucleotides) under Lathyrus oleraceus (garden pea). Its description in RNAcentral is "Pisum sativum (pea) long non-coding RNA (PSAT_LNC022223)". The record is from RNAcentral. Lineage: Eukaryota; Viridiplantae; Streptophyta; Magnoliopsida; Fabales; Fabaceae.